GACGAACGCUGGCGGCGUGCUUAACACAUGCAAGUCGAGCGGUAAGGCCCUUUCGGGGGUACACGAGCGGCGAACGGGUGAGUAACACGUGGGUGACCUGCCCUCAGCUCUGGGAUAAGCCUGGGAAACCGGGCCUAAUACCGGAUAUGACUCCAUGACGCAUGUUGUGGGGUGGAAAGCCUUGUGCGGCUGAGGAUGGGCCCGCGGCCUAUCAGCUUGUUGGUGGGGUGAUGGCCUACCAAGGCGACGACGGGUAGCCGGCCUGAGAGGGCGACCGGCCACACUGGGACUGAGACACGGCCCAGACUCCUACGGGAGGCAGCAGUGGGGAAUCUUGCGCAAUGGGCGAAAGCCUGACGCAGCGACGCCGCGUGAGGGAUGACGGCCUGG
This 390-nucleotide ribosomal RNA is filed under the name uncultured bacterium. RNAcentral describes it as "bacterial SSU rRNA". It matches the Rfam family "Bacterial small subunit ribosomal RNA", at positions 28 to 419 of the family's 1533-position model. The record is from RNAcentral.